UUAAUAGUAAAAUCUGCUCAAUGAAAUUUAAAUAGCCGCAAUUUGUGCUAAGGUAGCAUAAUCACUUGUCAUUUAAAUGAUGACUAGAACAAAAGACUUAACAUUUUAACUUCUUUAUUUAUAAUAAAUAUCUAAUUUUUCUGAAAUGUAAAAAGACAUUUAUUCAUCAGAAAGACGACAAGACCCUGUUGAACUUAACUUUAGUUAAACUGGGGUAGUUAUCUAAUCAUUAUUUAAUUAAUAAUUUUAUGAAAUUAUCCAAUAUAUUUGAAUAAUUCAGUUACCAUAGGGAUAACAGCGCAAUUGAAUUUUAAAGCUCUUAUUUAAAAAAUAGAUUACGACCUCGAUGUUGAAUUAAUAACCUUUUUAAAGAAAAUUUUAAAAUAGGAAGUCUGUUCGACUUUUUAAAAAUUACAUGAUUUGAGUUCAGACCGGUAUAAGCCAGGUCGGUUUCUAUCUUCUAAAGAUAAUUUUACAGUACGAAAGGACCCAAAAUAAUAUUUCAUAUUAUAUUGGCAGAUUAAUGCAUUAGAAUUAGAAUCUAAUUAAACU
Molecule: ribosomal RNA, 552 nt
Filed under: Sidusa sp. French Guiana 1
Lineage: Eukaryota; Metazoa; Arthropoda; Arachnida; Araneae; Salticidae
Description: partial 16S ribosomal RNA
Rfam family: Bacterial large subunit ribosomal RNA (bases 169-462)
Source: RNAcentral